Molecule: small nuclear RNA, 105 nt
Organism: Talpa occidentalis (Iberian mole)
Lineage: Eukaryota; Metazoa; Chordata; Mammalia; Eulipotyphla; Talpidae
Source: RefSeq, a predicted model, not a curated record
GUGCUCACUUUGCCAGCACAUGUUACUAAAAUUGAAAUGAUACAGAAGUUAGCAUGGCCUCUGAGCAAGGAUGACGUGCAAAUUCAUGAAGUGUCCCAUAUUGAA